AGAAGAAGAAAGAUGGCCUUCGUGAUGUGUGGAAGAGACAAUGCAGAUUACAAAAAAAGUUCAACAAAGAAAUUGAGAGACGGGAAAAUGAAAGACAGGAGAGAACCAGGAGUAGAGCAGAUUCCUGAGCAAUGGGUACUGCUGGUGAAGAGGUGUGUCCUGUUGGUAGGCCCCCAAGCAGUGUAGCCCAGGGUUAAUGCAGACCUACCAGAGGCCAUUCCAGACAUCACUAACUUGGACCCAGAGCAAAGGAGGAAUCUGCU
Penaeus monodon (black tiger shrimp) is the source of this 263-nucleotide long non-coding RNA. RefSeq lists it as uncharacterized. Lineage: Eukaryota; Metazoa; Arthropoda; Malacostraca; Decapoda; Penaeidae. The transcript is spliced from 4 exons. The record is from RefSeq and is a predicted model, not a curated record.